Molecule: long non-coding RNA, 3005 nt
Organism: Ceratina calcarata
Lineage: Eukaryota; Metazoa; Arthropoda; Insecta; Hymenoptera; Apidae
Exons: 2
Source: RefSeq, a predicted model, not a curated record
GUCGAUGCACAGUCAGCGCAGCGUCGGGAUUCUGGUGUGCGUCGCCUUCGAGGUAUACUUUCGAGUGUACAAGUCUCGGAACGACUAGCGUGUUUUGAUAUCUCGCGGGGUACACGCGAGAGAGCUGCGUCAUUCCUCUCAUAACAUGUGUGCAUAAACAAGUGGAAUGAUCAACAGGGUGGCAAGGGAUAGAUCGGUGGAAGUGGUUUGAGAACGAUAGGGGUAGAUGGGUGGAGUGCAAAGAAGAGCCAGGAAUAAUGGUGAACAUGACCCUGACAUUUAAGAAGAAACAGAUUCUUCGCGCUGAAUUAAAAACAGACUCUCGAGAAUAAACUUGUCAUGCUCCUCGAGCUCUAUAAUUAAAGUUAGGUAUGUCUUAUAACGAGGAGAAAGUCAACUGGAUAUCAAGGAAAGUCAACAGUAUAAAUGCCAUAAGAAACGCCUCAUUAUAUUCUUAAGGAGGAAUAUACUGAAGUUACGAACGAAACAUUAAGUAAUGAUAAUGUAUCGUUUCCGUAUGUAAAUAAUACUUGAUGAGUUCUAUAAGUACAAUGAUCGAAAGAAAAGCCAAUUCCGUGAGCAACAAUCAGCUCGAACUAAUUACUCCGAUGGGAAUCUAUGAGGAUAGUUGGAAAGGAACGGCUCGUCUCCUAAUCACGCAACCAGUCGAAGCAUUAACUGGUUCCGAGGUAACCUUGAAGAUGAGGGCAGCGGGACCGCGGUUAACGGUUUCGCUUCGUUAAGCCGGUAGGAAGUGUAUCGCUUAGGAGGCGAGUAUUACAAUUUAUAACGAUGAACCCGUGUGAUCAGCGUCGAUUAAUUGCCGGCUCGAUGCGAUCUCGAUAAAGCGUCGUGUACACCUACCGACACGUAUAGAGACGUGGCUCGAUUUCUCGCUACGAUCGAACCUGCUCGCUCGAGGGCAAACGAUCGGUUCGUAAUUUUCGUGAAGACCGUUACCCACGCAUCUCGCCUCGGCUAUUUCCACACGUUUUGCCCAUGUUCACGACUACACGCGCCGUAAUAUUCGCGCCACUUAUAUUCGAGCAGCUAUGCGUUUACGGUCAAUGCUGAUGCAACGGGUGUACGAUAAGGAAGAAGGCACAACGAGAUUUUCUACCGACUGGACGGCGCCGUUGCUCUACGCGUUAUUCGUAGCCGUUUUCACGACGGAUUUAUCGCGUGCGGGAAAAAUAACUAGAAAAUUAAAUUCGUCGAUCAAGAAGAAAAUUGCUCUCGCCAGAGUGCUUAGUACCACUUAGUGAAAUGAGAACGGAGCGGUAGCUCUUUUGCGUCUACGUCGUAUAAAAUGCGUCUCGUACAGUUAUGACGUCGAUACGUUUUACAAUUAUGCCACGGAACUCGGAGCAAGUGUGCAGAAAUUCGGAAUGACGUGGACGUAAAACAGCAGAGGAAAUGAUAAUUCCCGUAGAGGGAGAAUUCUGUUUGCGAGAUAACUAGAGAAUUCGAUUGACGGGACAGCGGCGUCUGAAAAUCGGCGUCCCAGACCUCUCAUGGGACAUUCAUUUUGCAAGAGAAAGAUGAAAGCUGGUCCCGAACGGAGCACCGACGCGACACGAUCGCGCCGGUUUCUAUACCGUCUGCAUCGAUUAUCGUUUGACCGACUGAAGUACUAGGGCCGUCAGUUUAAUGAAUAACGACGUACCUAAUGACACACGACGUCACACCUCAACUCGAGCCGCAUAUACGUCAACCGGAAUCGAUUCCGUCGGAAAAUCUACGGCGGAUGUUUGACAAGGUCGGACGUUCGUUCGAGCGACGCCGCCGGAGCGAUUCCGGAUACCAAAGAGAGCUUCCUGCACUUUUUACUCCGGCCCAUCGUCAAAGAGAAAUGCGGUUAAUUGAUACCUCUUCUGUCAGCGGACAAAAAUAAAAUUCAAUGUUAAAAAAACCGUGACGAUUUCCAUGCUCUGUCGGGUCGACUUCAUUGGACCAUUAUAAUUUUCAGUCCAUUGAAAAGUCUUUUUGAUUUCAGCUACGUCGAAGUCUACCGGGAACUUUCGUGAAAAGUGUAGCAUAUAUGUAACUUACACACGUGGCUGAAGAUAGAUACUACAUACAUGUUCCAGCGGUCAAAUUCAUACACGUAUCGAACUCAGAAGCGGUUCGGACUUCAAUACCACGCGUUUCAAAGUUCCUUUUAACUGAUAUUUGUGGAAAUCCACCGAUCUGAACUACGGUUCAAUAAAUCUUUAACUAUAGUUGACCUAAUCCGAUAUUUCAUUCCUAUUUAAAUGCGAAUUGAAGUACUUAUUCAACGGCAGUUUACAUUCCAACGAACAGAAAAGAUUUCAAUUAUACUGAUAUGCAAUCUUAAUCAGCCAAUAUAACUGUUGAUCCGCUGCAUUUGAAAUCCAUCGACUAGUUAAUGAAUUCUCUUCGCCAAAGGAAAUGAUAAAUUCCUAACGCAAUUACAAGUUGAAAACAGCGAAGCAACGUCACAGCCGUUUACACGGCACAUUAUCUCGACGAGGUUCGUCCACGACAUAAUGCGACGCGGCGGCCACGAUUCCCUGUCGUAACACUAUUAACGCGUCACCCUGUAUCGAACGGAAUGGAUUCGUACGGACCUUUCGAUAAGUGCUGUGUCCCGUGCUGUCUAGUGCAGCAACACCUACACCCGUUCCGCAUUACUUAUCAAGCCGUGGUCCCCGGUGUCUAUCGAGAAUAGAAGCGGGAACAUGUGCAGGAAGCUGAAAUGUCCGAUGCACCUGACAGGUGCUCACGUAUUCACGGCCCCGACAGCCCUUCACUCUCAGCGCAUCAAUCUCUCCGCUAGUCGUGCCAAGAUACGAGACCGUCGCGCCGGUCACUAGCUACCUCGAAGAUUAAAAGUCCUCGACAAAAACUUUCACAACUUUGAUUGUACAUGCGUGUUUCAAUCAUAGUUGCUGUACGUUUACAUUUUCAGUUCAUGUCAUGUACAAAUUUCAAUUAGAUAUAUUGAAGUGCAACGAGGAACAAAUAUAGAAUUACCAAAAGGA